CGCCCUUAGAGUUUGAUCCUGGCUCAGGACGAACGCUGGCGGCGUGCCUAACACAUGCAAGUCGAACGGAACUGUUUUGAAAGAUUUCUUCGGAAUGAAUUUGAUUUAGUUUAGUGGCGGACGGGUGAGUAACGCGUGAGUAACCUGCCUUCAAGAGGGGGAUAACAUUCUGAAAAGAAUGCUAAUACCGCAUGACAUAUCGGAACCACAUGGUUUUGAUAUCAAAGAUUUUAUCGCUUGAAGAUGGACUCGCGUCCGAUUAGUUAGUUGGUGAGGUAACGGCUCACCAAGACCGCGAUCGGUAGCCGGACUGAGAGGUUGAACGGCCACAUUGGGACUGAGACACGGCCCAGACUCCUACGGGAGGCAGCAGUGGGGGAUAUUGCGCAAUGGGGGCAACCCUGACGCAGCAACGCCGCGUGAAGGAUGAAGGUUUUCGGAUUGUAAACUUCUUUUAUUAAGGACGAAACUUGACGGUACUUAAUGAAUAAGCUCCGGCUAACUACGUGCCAGCAGCCGCGGUAAUACGUAGGGAGCAAGCGUUGUCCGGAUUUACUGGGUGUAAAGGGUGCGUAGGCGGCUUUGCAAGUCAGAUGUGAAAUCUAUGGGCUCAACCCAUAAACUGCAUUUGAAACUGUAGAGCUUGAGUGAAGUAGAGGCAGGCGGAAUUCCCCGUGUAGCGGUGAAAUGCGUAGAGAUGGGGAGGAACACCAGUGGCGAAGGCGGCCUGCUGGGCUUUAACUGACGCUGAGGCACGAAAGCGUGGGUAGCAAACAGGAUUAGAUACCCUGGUAGUCCACGCUGUAAACGAUGAUUACUAGGUGUGGGGGGUCUGACCCCUUCCGUGCCGGAGUUAACACAAUAAGUAAUCCACCUGGGGAGUACGGCCGCAAGGUUGAAACUCAAAGGA
This 910-nucleotide ribosomal RNA is filed under the name uncultured bacterium. Its description in RNAcentral is "bacterial SSU rRNA". It matches the Rfam family "Bacterial small subunit ribosomal RNA", at positions 1 to 908 of the family's 1533-position model. The record is from RNAcentral.